This 236-nucleotide ribosomal RNA is filed under the name uncultured bacterium. RNAcentral describes it as "partial 16S ribosomal RNA". It matches the Rfam family "Bacterial small subunit ribosomal RNA", at positions 82 to 334 of the family's 1533-position model. The record is from RNAcentral.
UGGGUUUAGACCCACGGCGAACGGGUGAGUAAUACAUAGGAAUUUUCUUUAAGUUAAGAAUACCCUUCCGAAAGGAAGUACAAUACUUAAUGUGAUCGCAAGAUUAAAGCCGCAAGGCGCUUAAGGUGAAGCCUGUGCACUAUCAGCUAGUUGGUAAGGUAAAAGCUUACCAAGGCUAUGACAGUUAGCGGGCCCGAGAGGGUGAUCCGCCACACUGGGACUGCGACACGGCCCAG